AGACAGGGACGGGGAAACCACCCGCUCAGCAAUGAGCACCGGAGGUACCUCCUUGGGGUGAAGCCGGCAUUCAUACCGGCAGAGCACAUCCUCCGCUCUAACCCGACAGCUAACCUCGACGGCGACAAAUGAGAGGAA
Molecule: small RNA, 138 nt
Filed under: uncultured Corynebacterium sp.
Lineage: Bacteria; Bacillati; Actinomycetota; Actinomycetes; Mycobacteriales; Corynebacteriaceae
Description: ydaO/yuaA leader
Rfam family: c-di-AMP riboswitch aptamer (ydaO/yuaA leader)
About the family: This family represents a conserved RNA structure found upstream of the ydaO and yuaA genes in Bacillus subtilis and related genes in other bacteria.
Source: RNAcentral